This 1677-nucleotide long non-coding RNA is filed under the name Lotus japonicus. Its description in RNAcentral is "long non-coding RNA (LJAP_LNC001380)". Lineage: Eukaryota; Viridiplantae; Streptophyta; Magnoliopsida; Fabales; Fabaceae. The record is from RNAcentral.
UUAGUUCAUGACAUUGUUGUAAGUUGUAACAGAAUUUUUAUGACAAAGUUCUAGAGUUCAAUUCUCACUACCCUUCAUUAUUCGAAUACAAAGUUGAAUUUCAGCAAACACCUUUCUCAAUUGUAAUAUAUUAAUAUUACUAGAUGUCCUUUCUGAAUGUCCUUUGUUUUUGUGUAGUAUAACACUAUAACUGUAUAAGUAACAGAUUUCUAGUGAGAUUGAGUACAGUGAAGUUGAAAGUUUCAGCUCAAGAGCAUCUCAAUUUUGUCAACGGUGAAUCAUGACAGUGGAGCUUUGGUCUAUAGAUCAAACCACUUGGAUUCUUGCAAGUUUCUUUUCCUGUUCAGCUGUAUUAUCUGGCUGGCUUUUACAAUCACUCCACUUUACUAAACAGGAUCCUUUACAGCAAUAAGUCUGUCUGAAACUCAGUAUCAUAAUGAUAAGGAGAUGCAAUCAGAGGAAGCAGAUCACAUGGAACAGAAAUCAUCACAAGGAUCUAAAUAGCUAUUUUCUUGGAUAACUGUUCUUCUAGCUAUCUGACUCUCUCUUUGGAUUUUAUUGCUAUUUCUGUUUGAAAUUUUUUAUAUUGGGCUAAACAAAAGGCAUGUCCAAUCUCCUAACCCACUUGCCCAUGGCAAUGAUCAUGGGCCAGAGAACUUCACAAAAUUGCAUUAAUGUAUUUAACUUUACAUAUCACCUACAUCUAUGAUCUAUCCAAAGUAUAUAUCUAACUUUUGUGUUCAUGUAAAGGCUUUGUUGGCUCAACAACAGUCCUUAAAUCCCCUGUGUGGUGGUUAAUUUACUAGGAUACAAAUCUAUAUACUUCAUACAUACUUGGUUUCAGAUAGAGUGAAUCAAUUUUGAAUCCACAAAUAUCAUGACUCAGACACAACAUACCCCAACUACAUACAUAAUUACAAAAGUUGUAUUCCAGUUAAGAAGAAACUCGUGAACAUACAAAGCACACACAGAUUUGAGAUACAAAAGCUGAAUAAUAAAUGAAAAGCUUCUUCCAUUUCCAAUUGCCAUGCUUAUUAUUAACUUUUCUCUUUACACCACCCCUUAAAGCCAUCUAUCCAACCCCACCACCACUCCACCAGCAACCAUCUAAUCAAUGCGAAAAGAACUGCCCACCAUUAAAUUUGGUCCCUUUCAUGGCUUGAACCCGCUAACAUGUCUGGUUUAACGAUUUGCACAUAAUUCAAGCCACAUUUACUCAUAAGUCAUCAACAUAUUUAGAAAUGCAUUGAGAAAUCACAUUUAAAUUCCACAUCAAUUAUAACAAUGAGUCAUGUGAGUAGUCUAUGCAUUAGAGUUGAUUCUAAAUAAAAAGAAGUUGAUCCAUACAUGUAUUAAGACAUGUAAAUUCUAAUUAGAAGUCAUUCACUGUCUAACUAAGCAUGCUAUUAUUCAAAGAAAAAAGAUAACCACAUUAUUAUUAUCAACCCUUACAUUUUAUGUAUGGCUCUUAUACAUAAUACAAUUCCCAUUCCUCAGGUACAACGGCAUUACCUCAUGUAUGGCCUUCCACUUUAAGCAUGCCAAAGAUCAUUAUAUCAUGGGCUGCUUAAUAAUCAUUGUGAGUUUGUGACUUAUUCUUCUGCAUCACAUGUUUAUAAUUAACUUCCACUAUUUAAUUUGAUGCACUUCAUGAUUGUAUAAGAUAUAAGAAGUCAC